Molecule: non-coding RNA, 65 nt
Organism: Paramuricea clavata
Lineage: Eukaryota; Metazoa; Cnidaria; Anthozoa; Malacalcyonacea; Plexauridae
Source: the annotation of a GenBank genome assembly
CUCUCUGUAGCUCAGUUGAUUAGAGUGCUGCAGCGGAGUCGCAUGUUCGAUUCCUGCCAGGGGUC